RNAcentral lists this ribosomal RNA (498 nucleotides) under uncultured bacterium. RNAcentral describes it as "partial 16S ribosomal RNA". It matches the Rfam family "Bacterial small subunit ribosomal RNA", at positions 28 to 507 of the family's 1533-position model. The record is from RNAcentral.
GACGAACGCUGGCGGCGUGCCUAAUACAUGCAAGUCGAGCGGACGGAUGGGAGCUUGCUCCCAGACCGUCAGCGGCGGACGGGUGAGUAACACGUGGGCAACCUGCCUGUAAGACUGGGAUAACUCCGGGAAACCGGGGCUAAUACCGGAUAACUCUUUCCCUCACAUGAGGGAAAGCUGAAAGAUGGCAUCUCGCUAUCACUUACAGAUGGGCCCGCGGCGCAUUAGCUAGUUGGUGAGGUAACGGCUCACCAAGGCGACGAUGGGUAGCCGACCUGGGAGGGUGAUCGGCCACACUGGGACUGAGACACGGCCCAGACUCCUACGGGAGGCAGCAGUAGGGAAUCUUCCGCAAUGGACGAAAGUCUGACGGAGCAACGCCGCGUGAGUGAUGAAGGUUUUCGGAUCGUAAAACUCUGUUGUCAGGGAAGAACAAGUACCGGAGUAACUGCCGGUACCUUGACGGUACCUGACCAGAAAGCCACGGCUAACUACGUG